UCUGGUCUAUGAUGACUCUAAAGUGAGCAGACUGUUGGAUGAAGCUUGCGGAUAUGGGACUGAGAUCAGAC
This is a small nucleolar RNA of Poecilia formosa (Amazon molly), 71 nucleotides long. The record is from Ensembl. Lineage: Eukaryota; Metazoa; Chordata; Actinopteri; Cyprinodontiformes; Poeciliidae.